This 555-nucleotide ribosomal RNA is filed under the name Bifidobacterium bifidum. Its description in RNAcentral is "bacterial SSU rRNA". It matches the Rfam family "Bacterial small subunit ribosomal RNA", at positions 146 to 711 of the family's 1533-position model. Lineage: Bacteria; Bacillati; Actinomycetota; Actinomycetes; Bifidobacteriales; Bifidobacteriaceae. The record is from RNAcentral.
UCUCCUUGAAAAAGGGUGGUAAUGCCGGAUGUUCCACAUGAUCGCAUGUGAUUGUGGGAAAGAUUCUAUCGGCGUGGGAUGGGGUCGCGUCCUAUCAGCUUGUUGGUGAGGUAACGGCUCACCAAGGCUUCGACGGGUAGCCGGCCUGAGAGGGCGACCGGCCACAUUGGGACUGAGAUACGGCCCAGACUCCUACGGGAGGCAGCAGUGGGGAAUAUUGCACAAUGGGCGCAAGCCUGAUGCAGCGACGCCGCGUGAGGGAUGGAGGCCUUCGGGUUGUAAACCUCUUUUGUUUGGGAGCAAGCCUUCGGGUGAGUGUACCUUUCGAAUAAGCGCCGGCUAACUACGUGCCAGCAGCCGCGGUAAUACGUAGGGCGCAAGCGUUAUCCGGAUUUAUUGGGCGUAAAGGGCUCGUAGGCGGCUCGUCGCGUCCGGUGUGAAAGUCCAUCGCUUAACGGUGGAUCUGCGCCGGGUACGGGCGGGCUGGAGUGCGGUAGGGGAGACUGGAAUUCCCGGUGUAACGGUGGAAUGUGUAGAUAUCGGAAAGGAACACCA